This is a long non-coding RNA of Helianthus annuus (common sunflower), 2257 nucleotides long. RefSeq lists it as uncharacterized. The record is from RefSeq and is a predicted model, not a curated record. The transcript is spliced from 3 exons. NCBI's taxonomy places the organism in Eukaryota, Viridiplantae, Streptophyta, Magnoliopsida, Asterales, Asteraceae.
GGCACAUGUCCUAAUCCUAUUGCUUCCUACACUUCCUAGCCAAAAUAAACUUCCUAUUUGAUCUUUUCCCUUAUUAUGAUUAGGCAAAUUUAUCAUUUAUCUAACUGUUUUUUAAUAACAGAAGUAAAAGACUUUUAAAAUUCCAACAAUAAAACUAUUCUACUUAUCUAUAUCUUUUUUUUGAAUGGCUAAUGUUGCACAUCAUGGGGAUUGAACCCCUGACCUCUCCUAUCCUAAGUUCUAUCUAAACUCACCAACACCACUGGGAUAUUCCCAAGUUGAUACUUCUCUAUAUCUAUAUAUCUUAAGGCCGUGGGUAAUGGAGACAUGAGGUAACGUCCUCGAUAACCUGACGAUGAAAGGGUGUUAGAACCCAUGUCGUGAAACCACUAACCCUGCAACUCAUUUGUCUUGGGCGUGAGUCCUCUUUUUCACCUUAGAAUUAAUUAAGCUAGCCUAUGAAAAAUAUUCCAAAUCACCUUCAAGGUUCCUUUUUAACCAAUGUUUUGUAAGAGCUUAUGACUACAUGGAAGUGAUAUCGAAAUCAUUUUAUGAUGUGACAAUGAAAAAGGGUGAUACCAUUACACAUAGCCUACGAGCAAAUUGAGCUCGAGUGUCGAAGAAACCAUGCAACAUCUACCUUCACGUGGUCUUUUAAACACAAUGAGCUCGAGUGAUGAAGAAAACACGUAAUCUCCAUCUUGUUACAUACCCAACGAGAGAACUCAACCCAAAAGACUAGUCUAGUGGGUGAGAGAGCCAUUUGGUAUAUAAACCCCAGAUCAAUUGCCCAUACAACCGAUGUGGGACAAGUCUCAUACCUUGCAAUGGUAUUAGUCCAUAACAAUCGACCCUCCUUAAGGGCCAACGUCCUCGUAACCGCCUCUCAGUUAAAUAUAUUUAAUUGGAGUGAAUCUCUCAAAACCGAUCUAUGAAGCAGAAUUAUCAUAAGCUUGUACGUCAAUCAAGUCCCCACCCAGUUGCUUAGAACUCAACACAUAUCAAGAUGGCUUUAAAGGGUAGGUAAGGGUUAAAGAUAAGGUAUUUUAUUGAGAAAAACUGGCUAAAAAGAAAAAUAAAUGGUAAAUUACACUUUCGUCCUUUAUGUUUGUAUUAGAUUGCAAUAGAUAGCCUUUAACUUUAAUAAUUACAGUCACAGUCCUUUAUUUGUAAAAAUCAUUACACGCUACGUCCUUUAACCAUAACCUUGUUAAAAUUUUCAGUUAACUAUGACAUGUGCCUUGCACAUGAGGGCAUUUAUGUCUUUUUACCCAAUCUAUUUAAAUUAUAUAUUAUAUAUUUUCAUCAUCAUCAUCAUCAUCAUCACUGUCAACAUUCAUCACCAUUAAAAGUCACUCAUCCCAAAACCCAUUAACUCUUUAUCUCUUUACUCCAUCUCUCUCUACCUUCAAGAACCCACCCAACCAGUCACCUCUUUGUCUCCUUCCUGCCUCCAUGAAACCCCUAACCCAGAUCUGUAACUAUAAAUUCCGGCAGAACCACCGUCGUUGUCCGCUCAUCUCCGCCACCAUGAAACCAACAUCUCCGCUUACAAGACGGCAGUCAACAUCAUCAUCUUUUAUCUUCUUCGUUGUCGUUCGUGUCAUCUCACCGGAACCUCCGUCUGAUAUGUCUACAUCCGUGAUGAGUGAUGCCAUGAUCAUUCCAGCAGUAAAUCUAACAACUGAAGCGACGGAAGUAGAAUCUAUGAAGUGCGAUUGUUGCGGCUGAAACCCCUAACCCAGGAAUCUCCCUCCUUAAUGUAGGCACUUCGGAGCGACGGAAGUAGAAUCUGUUAGGGUUUUGGGAUAUGUAUACAGGGAAUAUAUGUAUGGUGGGUUCAGGAUCUGUAAAUUUGAACAUCAAGAACACCAAGAAAUGAUUCAGGUUCGCGUGCGAGUUUCUUUGUUAUGAAAUUCGGGUUUGUUGCAAAAAGAUCAAGAUUUUGUGGUUUGGGUUCUUGAAACAGAGAUGAGGUCUUGAAUGGUGACACAACAGAUUGAGGAGACUCCAUGAAAAUCUGCAAAAGAUUUAAGAGUUUGAAUAUCAAGAAAGUGCAGAAACUGAGUCAAUUUCAUCUUUUUGCAGCAAAUUUAUACAAAAAUAAACAAGAACCCUUGAUGAUGAAGAAUUAAAGAUCAAGAAUAAGCAGAAAUUUGUGUCAAUUCAUAACCAUUUGCAGCUAAUUUUAAGGGGAUAAGGGUUUGGCUUGUGUGUGAUUGUAAAAAUGAAAGAAAUAAAAAUAUGUUUUAUAUAA